GAUGAACGCUGGCGGCGUGCCUAAUACAUGCAAGUCGAACGAAACUUCUUUAUCACCGAGUGCUUGCACUCACCGAUAAAGAGUUGAGUGGCGAACGGGUGAGUAACACGUGGGCAACCUGCCCAAAAGAGGGGGAUAACACUUGGAAACAGGUGCUAAUACCGCAUAACCAUAGUUACCGCAUGGUAACUAUGUAAAAGGUGGCUAUACUACCGCUUUUGGAUGGGCCCGCGGCGCAUUAGCUAGUUGGUAGGGUAAAGGCUUACCAAGGCAAUGAUGCGUAGCCGAAUUGAGAGGUUGAUCGGCCACAUUGGGACUGAGACACGGCCCAAACUCCUACGGGAGGCAGCAGUAGGGAAUCUUCCACAAUGGGCGAAAGCCUGAUGGAGCAACGCCGCGCGGGUGAAGAAGGUCUUCGGAUCGUAAAACCCUGUUGUUAGAGAAGAAAGUGCGUGAGAGUAACUGUUCACGUUUCGACGGUAUCUAACCGGAAAGCCACGGCUAACUACGUG
This 512-nucleotide ribosomal RNA is filed under the name uncultured bacterium. RNAcentral describes it as "partial 16S ribosomal RNA". It matches the Rfam family "Bacterial small subunit ribosomal RNA", at positions 28 to 507 of the family's 1533-position model. The record is from RNAcentral.